Molecule: ribosomal RNA, 415 nt
Filed under: uncultured Paracoccus sp.
Lineage: Bacteria; Pseudomonadati; Pseudomonadota; Alphaproteobacteria; Rhodobacterales; Paracoccaceae
Description: bacterial SSU rRNA
Rfam family: Bacterial small subunit ribosomal RNA
Source: RNAcentral
GGAAUCUUAGACAAUGGGGGCAACCCUGAUCUAGCCAUGCCGCGUGAGUGAUGAAGGCCUUAGGGUUGUAAAGCUCUUUCAGCUGGGAAGAUAAUGACGGUACCAGCAGAAGAAGCCCCGGCUAACUCCGUGCCAGCAGCCGCGGUAAUACGGAGGGGGCUAGCGUUGUUCGGAAUUACUGGGCGUAAAGCGCACGUAGGCGGACUGGAAAGUCAGAGGUGAAAUCCCAGGGCUCAACCUUGGAACUGCCUUUGAAACUAUCAGUCUGGAGUUCGGGAGAGGUGAGUGGAAUUCCGAGUGUAGAGGUGAAAUUCGUAGAUAUUCGGAGGAACACCAGUGGCGAAGGCGGCUCACUGGCUCGAUACUGACGCUGAGGUGCGAAAGCGUGGGGAGCAAACAGGAUUAGAUACCCCGG